Molecule: ribosomal RNA, 571 nt
Filed under: uncultured bacterium
Lineage: Bacteria
Description: partial 16S ribosomal RNA
Rfam family: Bacterial small subunit ribosomal RNA
Source: RNAcentral
UGGGGAAUAUUGCACAAUGGGCGAAAGCCUGAUGCAGCAACGCCGCGUGCGGGAUGACGGCCUUCGGGUUGUAAACCGCUUUCAGCAGGGACGAAGGUUUUCUGACGGUACCUGCAGAAGAAGCACCGGCUAACUACGUGCCAGCAGCCGCGGUGAUACGUAGGGUGCGAGCGUUGUCCGGAAUUAUUGGGCGUAAAGAGCUUGUAGGCGGUCCGUUGCGUCGGAAGUGAAAACUCAGGGCUUAACCCUGAGCCUGCUUUCGAUACGGGCGGACUUGAGGGAUGUAGGGAGAACGGAAUUCCUGGUGGAGCGGUGGAAUGCGCAGAUAUCAGGAGGAACACCAGUGGCGAAGGCGGUUCUCUGGACAUUUCCUGACGCUGAGAAGCGAAAGCGUGGGGAGCAAACAGGCUUAGAUACCCUGGUAGUCCACGCCGUAAACGGUGGGCACUAGGUGUGGGACCCAUUCCACGGGUUCCGUGCCGUAGCUAACGCAUUAAGUGCCCCGCCUGGGGUAGUACGGCCGCAAGGCUAAAACCUUAAAUGAAUUGACGGGGUCAUGAGCUGUUUCCCU